Molecule: ribosomal RNA, 474 nt
Filed under: uncultured soil bacterium
Lineage: Bacteria
Description: bacterial SSU rRNA
Rfam family: Bacterial small subunit ribosomal RNA
Source: RNAcentral
AGGACGAACGCUGGCGGCGUGCUUAACACAUGCAAGUCGAGCGGUAAGGCCUUUCGGGGUACACGAGCGGCGAACGGGUGAGUAACACGUGGGUGAUCUGCCCUGCACUCUGGGAUAAGCCUGGGAAACUGGGUCUAAUACCGGAUAUGACCUGCUCUCGCAUGGGGGCGGGUGGAAAGAUUUAUCGGUGCAGGAUGGGCCCGCGGCCUAUCAGCUUGUUGGUGGGGUAAUGGCCUACCAAGGCGACGACGGGUAGCCGACCUGAGAGGGUGACCGGCCACACUGGGACUGAGACACGGCCCAGACUCCUACGGGAGGCAGCAGUGGGGAAUAUUGCACAAUGGGCGAAAGCCUGAUGCAGCGACGCCGCGUGAGGGAUGAAGGCCUUCGGGUUGUAAACCUCUUUCAGCAGGACGAAGCGCAAGUGACGGUACCUGCAGAAGAAGCACCGGCUAACUACGUGCCAGCAGCCGC